This 697-nucleotide ribosomal RNA is filed under the name uncultured Methanosaeta sp. RNAcentral describes it as "bacterial SSU rRNA". It matches the Rfam family "Archaeal small subunit ribosomal RNA", at positions 1 to 705 of the family's 1478-position model. The record is from RNAcentral. Lineage: Archaea; Methanobacteriati; Methanobacteriota; Methanomicrobia; Methanotrichales; Methanotrichaceae.
UCCGGUUGAUCCUGGCGGAGGUUACUGCUAUCGAGGUUCGACUAAGCCAUGCGAGUCGAAUGUAGCAAUACAUGGCGUACUGCUCAGUAACACGUGGACAACCUACCCUUAGGUCGGGGAUAAACCCGGGAAACUGGGUAUAAUACCCGAUAGUCCUCGAAUGCUGGAAUGCACCGAGGUCUAAAGCUCCGGCGCCUAAGGAUGGGUCUGCGGCCUAUCAGGUAGUAGUGGGUGUAGCAUACCUACUAGCCUACGACGGGUACGGGUUGUGAGAGCAAGAGCCCGGAGAUGGAUUCUGAGACACGAAUCCAGGCCCUACGGGGUGCAGUAGGCGCGAAAACUUUACAAUGCUGGAAACAGCGAUAAGGGAACCUCGAGUGCCAGGUUACAAAUCUGGCUGUCGUGAUGCCUAAAAAGCAUUGCAUAGCAAGGGCCGGGCAAGACCGGUGCCAGCCGCCGCGGUAACACCGGCGGCUCGAGUGGUAACCGCUAUUAUUGGGUCUAAAGGGUCUGUAGCCGGCCGGAUAAGUCUUUUGGGAAAUCUGGCAGCUUAACUGUCAGGCUUUCAGAGGAUACUGUCUGGCUCGAGGCCGGGAGAGGUGAGAGGUACUUCAGGGGUAGGGGUGAAAUCUUGUAAUCCUUGAAGGACCACCAGUGGCGAAGGCGUCUCACCAGAACGGACCUGACGGCAAGGGAC